UCCCACGCAGGCUGAUGCGAGUAGCAGGAUGUAAGAUGAGGAAGCGUCAUGUAGCGAGCAUGAUGCUACACGGAUGAGUCGGGAGAGCCAGUUUCCAGAAGCGGCGUUCCUCGUUCCCUCUGCUCAGUGCCCUGGAGUCCUGACCGCAGCAACGUGACUGGCAUCUGAGCAUUUCAAAGAAAUGCUGAUGGCAAGUUUUUGGAAGCAGAAAUUGGAACUGGGGCCAGGGAUGCAUCUGAAUUCUUCAAUGCCUGGAUGGAGCAGCUGUUGCCCUGGCCCGAGAGCCUAUCUGGAGAUUGAGACACAAGCUGUUCAGUCACUCCUCUUCCCAGGGAAGACCUUGUAACGGUGCCAUGUGAGUGGGUGGUGCUGGGGGAACUGCACUGCACAGCUAUCAACGAGAUGCCAUGACCCAGCUGCUGAAACCUCUCUCUCUGCCAAGCCUGGCUAUCUGAGCUCAAUCCCCAGGACGCACGUGGCAGAAGAAAAGAAUUGACUCCUGUAAGUUUUCCUCUGACCUCCAUUUUGUGGGAGGGAGGGGAGGUCUCACUGGGUUGUCCAGGAUAGCCUCAAACUUGCAGAGAUCUGUCUGCCUAUGUUUCCUGAGUACUGGGAUCAAAGAUGUAUAGCAUGGGGCUGGAGAGAUGGCUCAGUGGUUAAGAGCACUGACU
RNAcentral lists this long non-coding RNA (671 nucleotides) under Rattus norvegicus (Norway rat). RNAcentral's name for it is "long non-coding RNA NONRATT006291". Lineage: Eukaryota; Metazoa; Chordata; Mammalia; Rodentia; Muridae. The record is from RNAcentral.